RNAcentral lists this ribosomal RNA (676 nucleotides) under uncultured bacterium. Its description in RNAcentral is "bacterial SSU rRNA". It matches the Rfam family "Bacterial small subunit ribosomal RNA", at positions 722 to 1397 of the family's 1533-position model. The record is from RNAcentral.
CGGCCUUCUGGACUGACACUGACACUGAGGUGCGAAAGCGUGGGUAGCAAACAGGAUUAGAUACCCUGGUAGUCCACGCCGUAAACGAUGUCGACCAGCCGUUGGGUGCCUAGCGCACUUUGUGGCGAAGUUAACGCGAUAAGUCGACCGCCUGGGGAGUACGGCCGCAAGGUUAAAACUCAAAUGAAUUGACGGGGGCCCGCACAAGCGGUGGAGCAUGUGGUUUAAUUCGAUGCAACGCGAAGAACCUUACCUACUCUUGACAUCCUGCGAACUUGUGAGAGAUCACUUGGUGCCUUCGGGAGCGCAGAGACAGGUGCUGCAUGGCUGUCGUCAGCUCGUGUUGUGAAAUGUUGGGUUAAGUCCCGUAACGAGCGCAACCCUUGUCCUUAUUUGCCAGCGGGUAAUGCCGGGAACUCUAAGGAGACUGCCGGUGACAAACCGGAGGAAGGUGGGGACGACGUCAAGUCAUCAUGGCCCUUACGAGUAGGGCUACACACGUGCUACAAUGGCCGGUACAAAGGGUUGCGAGCUCGCGAGAGUCAGCUAAUCCCGAAAAGCCGGUCUCAGUCCGGAUCGGAGUCUGCAACUCGACUCCGUGAAGUCGGAAUCGCUAGUAAUCGUGAAUCAGAAUGUCACGGUGAAUACGUUCCCGGGCCUUGCACACACCGCCCGU